Molecule: RNA transcript, 2978 nt
Organism: Cucumis melo (muskmelon)
Lineage: Eukaryota; Viridiplantae; Streptophyta; Magnoliopsida; Cucurbitales; Cucurbitaceae
Exons: 4
Source: RefSeq, a predicted model, not a curated record
UGAAUGAACGAGGGAUGAAGAUAACAAAAAGGAGUCCAAACGUCUUUGUCAAUUAUGGUUUAUCAUUUAGAUUCGAAUUCAAAUCUAAAGUGGUUAGAUUAACGACGUAAGGAAAAGAGGAGGAAGAUCCUUUACAUUUUGGAUAUCUAAACGCCGUAAGAAAGAGAAAGAAAGGAAGAUCGAGAAAUAUAAUCGCCAUACUUCUGAUGAGCCGUACUUCUGAUGUCAUCACUAAGAGCCGUACUUCUGAUGUCAGCACUAAGUGUCUUUGAAAGUCUUGAAAGGAAAGUGUCUUUGAAAGUCUUGAAAGGAAAAGAUAUCAGUUUGUAAUUGGGUUCCAUGGCCAUGGAGUUAGGAGAGCUGAAGAGGAAUUUUGAUGGGCUGAAACUUCUUGCUGAAAAGCAAGAGCGGAGAGUUCGUUACUAUGAGACUAGAGCCCAAAACGUAGCCAUUGCCUGCCUUAUAUGGGACCGCCUGUUCGUCGUUGAUUGAAAUCUCCCUACAGAUUUUGAAUACUGGAAGCCCAAAUGAUGAUGAGGCUGGAGAUACAUUUUCAAGUGAUAAUGGGGGGUUGGAGUUGAGUUUCCAGGUUCAGUUACUUCAGUACCAUCCACUUACAGUUGUCCAGAGAAAAAUUUAUAUUGCUUCCACUAUUUCUACUCUGCUUGCUGUUUCUGCUUUUGAAGUAUACACCUGUAAGCUCUUGUUAUGCAAUUCAAACUGAACAUUCAUCUGGUGACCUACUGCUAAGCUUACAAUUUGUUUCAAGUAUUGUGUUGUGGUUAUAAAAUCUCCAUAUUAGAGAUUAUUGUCGUAGAAAUAAAGAAUUUGAGGUAAUCGAGUUCCAUAGGGAAAUGUUAUGUUUAUGUUAUAUUAAUUUAAGGAUGUUGGGUUGGGUUUUCUACUUUGUAUGGUUGUAAAAGUAGAGCUACACAUUAAUUAUAAACGGUCCUAUAUUUGUUUUAUGCUUUGUUGACGGAAAUAAUAUGAUACACAUACAUCCACUGAGCUUUCCCUUUUCCUUCUCAACAUCUGACUUAGUAAAUUCAGUCCAUAUAAUCAUUGCUCUUUCAAUUUUACUUGAAAUGCACAGCAAUGUCAAUUAAACAAAUAAAAUUGUGCUUCUAUUCAUGUUUUCAGCAAGAUCGAAAACAAGCUCAAUAAUUAAUUUUAUUUGUGAAUAUCUUCGAUAACUAAGAGGUCAUAGGUUUAAUCCAUGGUGGCCACUACCUAAAAAUUAAUUUUUUUACAAGUUUCUUUAACACCCAAAAUAUUGUAGAGUCAGGCGAGUCGUCCUACGGUAUUAGUCGAGGUGCACGUAAGUUUGUCUAGACACUCAAGGAUAUAGAAAACAAUUGUGAAUAUCCUCAGGUAGCCAAUCUUCUCCAUUACUUGGACAAUAGCAAAAUAUUAAACAGCCGUCUAUCAAUUGAGUUGGGUUCAACUAUUGGAACUUUUCAAACUUUGUCUCAAACAGCUUCCAGAAAGAAACCUGGUCUAAAGUCAGAACCCACUCUUUUUCCAGCGUUACUUCAAGUACAACCUGGAUUUUAACUUGCCAUUGUGAUAAUUGUUAUGGGUAAUCUAGGUAGGUUACUUAAUAUCUUACUGUUGUUGACAGAGUAGAAACCUAAGUAAAAUUUUGGAAUGCAAUUCUUUCACACAAAUUAUAGCUAUCACACAACACAUCCUAGCAAUCACAGAGACAAGAGUAAAUUAACAGAUGUAGAAACAACAAUAAAACAUAGGAAGUUGGUAAACCAGUUUGGUGAUACACUUACGUCUGGAAGGCAAUGUGCAUAGGAAAAAUGAUCCGUUAAUAUAAUUAAGUUAAGCGAUUACAAUGGUGUACUUAUCUGUAGCUAAUGAAGAUUACAAUGACAGAGCUUAACUCAUCUAGACCCCUCCUAGACGUGAGACUCCCUCUUGAACUUAAACUCCUCCCAAGUAUGUGGAUAUUAGUGGUGUAGAAUUUAGGUUUCCCUAAGUGUGUGAGACUCUCUAUCACUUGAAGAUACUUUACUUCUUUUACACGUGAACUCCUUUCACUUGAGAAACUCAGGCAAUUUUCUUGGUUAUUAGCAUAUUUCAGGAUCUAGCUCCUAUUUUCUCUACUGUAUUGUUUCGUUGCCUUUGCUGCGAACUUUUGUUCUUUUUUUUUGUUCAAUAUCUUUUUCAGCUCAACUUGUCUGCUUUGCUGACUGAUUUUCUUCAUGUUUUUCCACGUUAUCUUAGCUAUGCUGUUUUGAGUACUACGCUUAUUUGAAAACGAGGUUUGGUUUAUAAUUUUAUUGUUUGAUUCAAUGCACUCAUUCCUGGUUUUUUAUGCUAUAGGAAUGGAUGUUACACUUGUUGAAUUGGAUGCCGGUAAAUAUGCUCAGAUGAGUUAAUCCAUAGCCAUACCGAUUCCUGACCUCCAAGGCGAUAGUAAAGUUAAAGAGAUAACAUCAGAGGCCAAAGCGUUUCUUACUUUGGGAUUGGCUGAGCCUUCGACAAAAAAGAAAUGUGAAGAACACGCUGAAUGGACGGACAAGACAUGGUAUACAACUAAAAGAAUUUGAAUCCACACAAUACAAACAUUGUGACAUGGAGCAGGAAGAUGAUUAUGAUGGUGAUGGAACACAUGGCUCUUGUCUAGAUUUUGAGAAUAUGGAAGAAACAUACAACUACGAACAAGAUUAUGGUUAUGAUGAAUACGGUAGAGACCAAUCUCUCUUGACUAUUCAUAUUUAGCCAUUUGAAAUUGCAAGCUAAUGUUGGUUGUCCAUAGUUAUAGUUAUUCUUCAUGUUGCUACCCCUGUGUUCAGUUAGAUGAACAUUAGCAUGGAGUUUGUAUGAUCUUUGAUUUUCUUGUAUCAUUUCUAUAAAUCACAUGUGAGCUUUCAGUGUUCAUUUGUCAUAAAUUUUUGGAAGGAAAAUAGAUAAGUUAACACAACAUCCAUUUGCUGGAUUUCUUCCCCUUAAAAUGCAACAUAAGG